GCCUACGGGGGGCAGCAGUAAGGAAUAUUGGUCAAUGGUCGGGAGACUGAACCAGCCAAGCCGCGUGAGGGAUGAAGGUACAGAGUAUCGUAAACCUCUUUUGUCAGGGAACAAAGGCGGGGACGUGUCCCCGGAUGAGUGUACCUGAAGAAAAAGCUCCGGCUAACUACGUGCCAGCAGCCGCGGUAAUACGUAGGGAGCAAGCGUUAUCCGGAAUUAUUGGGUGUAAAGGGUGCGUAGACGGGAUAACAAGUUGGUUGUGAAACCCCUCGGCUCAACUGAGGAACUGCAACCAAAACUAUUAU
RNAcentral lists this ribosomal RNA (305 nucleotides) under uncultured bacterium. Its description in RNAcentral is "bacterial SSU rRNA". It matches the Rfam family "Bacterial small subunit ribosomal RNA", at positions 337 to 639 of the family's 1533-position model. The record is from RNAcentral.